AUUGAACGCUGCCGGCAUGCUUUACACAUGCAAGUCGACCGGUAACAGCCCGCAAGUUGCUGACGAGUGGCGAACGGGUGGGUAAUCCAUCGGACCGUGCCCGGUCGUGGGGGUAACUAACUCGAAAAAGUAGCUAAUACCGCAUACGAUCUUGGGAUGAAAGCGGGGGCCCUUAAGCCCCCGCCCGAUUGGAGGGGCCGAUGUCAGAUUAGGUAGUUGGUGGGGUAAAGGCUCACCAAGCCAACGAUCUGUAGCUGGUCUGAGAGGACGACCAGCCACACUGGGACUGAGACACGGCCCAGACUCCUACGGGAGGCAGCAGUGGGGAAUUUUGGACAAUGGGCGCAAGCCUGAUCCAGCAAUGCCGCGUGCAGGAAGAAGGCCUUCGGGUUGUAAACUGCUUUUGUACGGAACGAAACGGCUCUGGUUAAUACCCGGGGCUAAUGACGGUACCGUAAGAAUAAGCACCGGCUAACUACGUG
RNAcentral lists this ribosomal RNA (482 nucleotides) under uncultured bacterium. Its description in RNAcentral is "partial 16S ribosomal RNA". It matches the Rfam family "Bacterial small subunit ribosomal RNA", at positions 30 to 507 of the family's 1533-position model. The record is from RNAcentral.